RNAcentral lists this RNase P RNA (307 nucleotides) under Tissierellia bacterium. RNAcentral's name for it is "partial RNase P RNA component class A". It matches the Rfam family "Bacterial RNase P class A", at positions 49 to 367 of the family's 367-position model. From Rfam's summary of the family: Ribonuclease P (RNase P) is a ubiquitous endoribonuclease, found in archaea, bacteria and eukarya as well as chloroplasts and mitochondria. Its best characterised activity is the generation of mature 5'-ends of tRNAs by cleaving the 5'-leader elements of precursor-tRNAs. Cellular RNase Ps are ribonucleoproteins. The record is from RNAcentral. Lineage: Bacteria; Bacillati; Bacillota; Tissierellia.
AGUCCGAACUCCAUAGAGCAGGGUGCUGGAUAAUACCCAGUGGAGGCAACUCCAAGGCAAGUGCAACAGAAAUAUACCGCCUUGCAUUUAAUGCAGGGUUAGGGUGGAAAGGUGAGGUAAGGGCUCACCAGCGAUUAGGUGACUAAUCGGCUAUGUAAACCCCAUCCGGAGCAAGACCAAGUAGGGACAAAAGGUGACAGUUGCCUGCUGUCGUCCCAAUGGUAGGUCGCAUGAACCUAUUGGUAACAAUAGGUCAUAGAUAGAUGACCAUCUAAGACAGAACUCGGCUUACAGAUCUACUCGUUGA